Molecule: ribosomal RNA, 163 nt
Filed under: Muraltia salsolacea
Lineage: Eukaryota; Viridiplantae; Streptophyta; Magnoliopsida; Fabales; Polygalaceae
Also listed under: 1 other name
Description: 5.8S ribosomal RNA
Rfam family: 5.8S ribosomal RNA
About the family: 5.8S ribosomal RNA (5.8S rRNA) is a component of the large subunit of the eukaryotic ribosome. It is transcribed by RNA polymerase I as part of the 45S precursor that also contains 18S and 28S rRNA. Functionally, it is thought that 5.8S rRNA may be involved in ribosome translocation.
Source: RNAcentral
GAACGACUCUCGGCAACGGAUAUCUCGGCUCUGGCAUCGAUGAAGAACGUAGCGAAAUGCGAUACUUGGUGUGAAUUGCAGAAUCCCGUGAACCAUCGAGUCUUUGAACGCAAGUUGCGCCCGACGCCUUCUGGCCGAGGGCACGUCUGCCUGGGCGUCACGC